RNAcentral lists this ribosomal RNA (429 nucleotides) under Gemmatimonadota bacterium. RNAcentral describes it as "Gemmatimonadetes bacterium partial 16S ribosomal RNA". It matches the Rfam family "Bacterial small subunit ribosomal RNA", at positions 355 to 776 of the family's 1533-position model. Lineage: Bacteria; Pseudomonadati; Gemmatimonadota. The record is from RNAcentral.
UAGGGAAUCUUCGGCAAUGGACGAAAGUCUGACCGAGCAACGCCGCGCGAGUGAAGAAGGUUUUCGGAUCGUAAAACUCUGUUGUUAGAGAAGAACAAGGACGUUAGUAACUGAACGUCCCCUGACGGUAUCUAACCAGAAAGCCACGGCUAACUACGUGCCAGCAGCCGCGGUAAUACGUAGGUGGCAAGCGUUGUCCGGAUUUAUUGGGCGUAAAGCGAGCGCAGGCGGUUUCUUAAGUCUGAUGUGAAAGCCCCCGGCUCAACCGGGGAGGGUCAUUAGAAACUGGGAGACUUGAGUGCAGAAGAGGAGAGUGGAAUUCCAUGUGUAGCGGUGAAAUGCGUAGAUAUAUGGAGGAACACCAGUGGCGAAGGCGGCUCUCUGGUCUGUAACUGACGCUGAGGCUCGAAAGCGUGGGGAGCAAACAGG